AGCCUGAGAGUGGUCAUGGAUGCAUUUUAGCUGUACCUUUAGGGCCGGAGCACACACUUCUGCAUAACGCAUAAUGCACAACGCAUAAGAAAAUGAACCAAUCAUAGUCCUCCAUUUCUACUCCCCAAUAAAAUCAAAAGAUUCUGAUUGGUUAACUUUCUUAUACGUGAUGCAUUAUGCGUAUGCUCCGGCUCUUAUUCGCGUAGAUAAUGUGCACGUUUUUGUGUGGUUCUCUUCCGUGCUAGACGCAAGAGUGAUAAAGACGGAUAGUCGUGUCCAUAUCGUCUGUCUUUGAGAGAAAUGAGAAUUUGUUCGAAUUGAGAACUUGAGGCUGAGUGGAGAACGUGGAGGGCGUCUCGAGGUCGUAAUGAGGCACUUAUUUGUUAGUCCAGAAAACGUCCUGUUUACGUUUCAGGAUCAUAAUACCCAGCAAACAAAAUGCUAGCAAUUUACUAGCAAAACUGGCAACAAAUUCGAUCAUGUAUACGAACAGAUUGGCAGCAAAAAUCGAACAGUUUGCCCUAACAGUUAGAGAAAAAAAGAAAAUUUUGUUUAUUUCGUACCACAAUAGAGUGAUACGACCUGCUCUGUCCCUACGUUCGAUAGGGACAUCCUCUUCUGAUGUAGUUGACGCUGGUCGCCGGAAGGCAUCACAUUUCACAUCGUCUCGUUAAAAUAAAAUAGUAAAAAACGAAAACAAAGAAAAAAAACCUAUGCAAAAAUUGGUGGCUCGCGCCACUCUCGAGUCCCGCUCGCGCCCUCUCCCCUCGAACGGGUGAAACGCAGGACCAACAAUUCUCGUAAUCGGAGAAUGCUCCUUGUGGUGAGGAGAUCCCACGACGCACGUCACAAUAAGUAAAUUAAUUCAAACUGUAUACGCCAGAGAGAUCGUGCAAACAUUUGGAUAAAGAUCAAGAAUAUAAAAAAAUCAGAUAUAACGCAGAAAAACGCUCUUGUAAGUUUUGCCUUGUCAAGUGUAACUGCAUGCUUCUUUUCUAAAUAAUCACCGGGAAAGAAGACCACCGGCGGCUGUUUCGAGACAUCCUUGACGACGGAUGUCUCACGUUAGCAUACUCCGCCGGCGAGUUCGGAUGUCAUUCAAGUCUCUCCGAGCGCGCGCACGUGCACGCCAUCGGCUUUUGCGCUUUCCGUGAAUGGUUAUGGAGUACAAGGUUGAGCAACGUGUGUCUGCCUGCCACGGUCGAAGGAUGAUGAUACAGCCGCGGGGAUGUCGCGGGCAGAGGGGUGGUCAAGGUGGGGCCCGUUAGAAGAGAGAUGUCCCUCGGCUUUUACGGCCGUAUUUCAUCCUUGCGGAGCCCGUUGCUCCUGUCGUAAAGACUCACGAGAAUCGACGGAUGCAGUUUCUAGGAAAGAGAGAGAGAGAGAGAGAGAGGAGGAGGAAGAGAGAAAAAGACGGAGAGAUAGAGAAAGAGCCCGUAAUGGUGUUGAAAUCGUAAAAUCGAGGAAACCCUGCGGGCGGAGGCAGCCGAUGUCGGUGAACGAGGACACGUAGAAAGCUUUCUCCGUGACGACGCGCUUAAAAGAGAAACGUGAGAAGUCCGUGUAGCAAGUACGUGAGAAAAAAAGAACAAGCGAAAUGUAUGCAAACUCGCGAUAUUAUCGCGUCGAACGUCUCUCAGGCAGAUUCGCCAAAUCGAUCGAGCAGCUUGGAUCGAGAGCCCUGGAAGUUUCGGUCAUGUCACUCGAGCGAAUUCUUCUAUCCCUAAAUGGAUUUCUGGACUUCCGACUCAAUAGGAGAGUCACAGUACCGUGUUAUAAGAGUGAAUCAUCCAUUUCCUUUUCAAUCUGUGACGUUUGUAUUCCCUUCGUAAUCUUUAUCGUUCUCUUACAUUUUUUUCUUUUUCUUUUCUCUUUUCCGAUAAGAUAAUCAUUCGUGGAAUAUGCUACGAUGCUAAAAUGUGCAAGAUCAAACACAGAGAGGCGAGAUAAUCAUGAAAAUGAUGAAUUAUCUUAUGUCUUGUAUUUCGCUUUUCGGCAUGUUCAGUCAGUUAUCAUUAGAUUGACAUUGUAUUGUAUCUCAGAAUACACUGAAUAUAUAUAAAAACAUAAAUUGGUAAAUAGUAAAUCUUUGUGCGAAAUAUACAUAAGGUAAUGGAAGGUGAACAAUUUGAAUAUAACGCUACAUAUUUGUACAUUUACAUUUGAAGAUUGACAUUGAGAUCGACUAAGAAUAAAAUCGUGCUAAGUUAACAUCGUAUCGUCAUUUCAGCACUUGUCAAGAAAUAUAAUGUAAGUAAUUGUUAUAUACAAAAAUUUCUUUUUCGUAGACAAUAACGCGAUAUUUGAAUUUGGUUUUCAUUGUUCAGUCUAGAAAAUGACGAAGAUCAUUUAUCUAGGUAUUGAUUUAUUCCUAUUUCGUAUUGAUUUUAUUCCUAUUUAUUUAUAACGACGUCAAGGACUUCUGAGCUGGAAACGACAGACGAUAAUUCGAAAUUACUGUUAAUCAGCGUGGUAAUGAUAUGAAAAUCACUACAAAAAAAUCUUUUUGCACAUGUGCAAAAUUAAUUUAAAUUUCAAAUUUUCAGUUAUUCCGACACGCUGAUAUCAUAGAACAUAGGCGGUAUAAUAAAGCUUAUAUAACUGAUCCAUACAAAAAAAUCACGAUGAGUAUCCAUUUGGUAAAGGAGUGUUGACUAAGAUAAGAUUUGAUUUGUGUGCUACAACAUAGAUAUAUCAUAUCAUUUUGUUAAUCUCUCUUUAUUGCUAAGAUUAUCUCAUGAAAUAGUAUGCAUCAAGCAACCUCUUGCAAUCCUUAAUAAUUAGUUUGUUCCAUUUGCUACACAUUGUAUGAUACUUUAUAUACGCAAUUUUACAUGAAACGGGAAUUACCUAAGUGGACAAAAAGCAUAUUUCCGAAUGAUGGCCCUCUGAUGGAUGCAGCUCUCUUAUUCUAUAAAUUAUUUUGUCACAAUCACUUGAACAAUGGCACUGGAGGCAUGUCUAAAUCAUCUAAAUUGAAAACAUACUGCUUAUAAGUUAUUUAAUCAUUAAAAGUUAAUCUUAUAUCGGUGAAGUACGUAAAUAUCAUAUAUUUUAAUCAUAAAUGCCAUUU
Long non-coding RNA from Pogonomyrmex barbatus (red harvester ant), 3073 nucleotides. RefSeq lists it as uncharacterized. The record is from RefSeq and is a predicted model, not a curated record. NCBI's taxonomy places the organism in Eukaryota, Metazoa, Arthropoda, Insecta, Hymenoptera, Formicidae.